GCAGUAGGGAAUCUUCGGCAAUGGACGAAAGUCUGACCGAGCAACGCCGCGUGAGUGAAGAAGGUUUUCGGAUCGUAAAACUCUGUUGUUAGAGAAGAACAAGGAUGAGAGUAACUGUUCAUCCCUUGACGGUAUCUAACCAGAAAGCCACGGCUAACUACGUGCC
RNAcentral lists this ribosomal RNA (166 nucleotides) under uncultured bacterium. RNAcentral's name for it is "partial 16S ribosomal RNA". It matches the Rfam family "Bacterial small subunit ribosomal RNA", at positions 351 to 509 of the family's 1533-position model. The record is from RNAcentral.